Molecule: ribosomal RNA, 216 nt
Filed under: Glomeromycotina sp.
Lineage: Eukaryota; Fungi; Glomeromycota
Description: partial small subunit ribosomal RNA
Rfam family: Eukaryotic small subunit ribosomal RNA (bases 40-216)
Source: RNAcentral
GGGUCAGUAGGUUGGUCGUGCCACCGGUACGUACUGGUCUCACUGAUUCCUCCUUCCUGAAGAACCGUAAUGCCAUUAAUUUGGUGUUGCGGGGAAACAGGACUGUUACUUUGAAAAAAUUAGACUGUUUAAAGCAAGCUAACGCUUGAAUACAUUAGCAUGGAAUAAUGAAAUAGGACGAUCGAUCCUAUUUUGUUGGCUUCUAGGAUUGACGUA